GUAGGUGGCAAGCGUUGUCCGGAAUUAUUGGGCGUAAAGCGCGCGCAGGCGGUCCUUUAAGUCUGAUGUGAAAGCCCACGGCUCAACCGUGGAGGGUCAUUGGAAACUGGGGGACUUGAGUACAGAAGAGGAAAGCGGAAUUCCAAGUGUAGCGGUGAAAUGCGUAGAGAUUUGGAGGAACACCAGUGGCGAAGGCGGCUUUCUGGUCUGUAACUGACGCUGAGGCGCGAAAGCGUGGGGAGCAAACAGGGAUUAGAUACCCUGGUAGUCCACGCCGUAAACGAUGAGUGCUAAGUGUUAGGGGGUUUCCCGCCCCUUAGUGCUGCAGCCAACGCAUUAAGCACUCCGCCUGGGGAGUACGGCCGCAAGGCUG
RNAcentral lists this ribosomal RNA (373 nucleotides) under uncultured organism. RNAcentral's name for it is "partial 16S ribosomal RNA". It matches the Rfam family "Bacterial small subunit ribosomal RNA", at positions 527 to 896 of the family's 1533-position model. The record is from RNAcentral.